Long non-coding RNA from Pseudophryne corroboree (corroboree frog), 522 nucleotides. RefSeq lists it as uncharacterized. The transcript has 4 exons. NCBI's taxonomy places the organism in Eukaryota, Metazoa, Chordata, Amphibia, Anura, Myobatrachidae. The record is from RefSeq and is a predicted model, not a curated record.
CCAAUCAGGAGGUUGCAGAAGAGCCGAGCGUCUGCUGUGCCGCACCACACCACGCAGUCAGGAGGAUCCCGCCGCGGUCCGGAAGGGAAGGCACACAUGACCUGGAGGCUGGAGCUGGCGAGUGCGUGCAGUCGUCAGUGGGCAGCGGGCGGGUCGCGGCUCCCGGCUCCCAAUCAGCAGCAGACAUCACAUUUCCCUCCCGGGCGGCCGAUGCAGUCUACUGAGUCUGAGUGGCUGACUGCAGCAGUUUUUGUGCAGCUGAAGGCAUGUGACUAAUCAAACAGGACAGCUGUGAGGAACUUCUUUAAGAAGGCAAGAUGGGAGUCUCAUUUACCUGAGAGUCUAGGAAGGGGAGGAGGAGUCUAAGAGCAAGGGUUCCCAACCACGGUCCUCAAGGCACACUAACAGUCCAGAUUUUAAGGAUUUCCAUACUGAGCACCUCGGACUGAGGCAUAUCCAGACGAGGCUGUCUCACUACGGGUCUCUUCUUCUACCGUCACUGUGUUAUGCUGAAGCUCAUUG